UUGCUCUUCAACGAGGAAUACCUAGUAAGCGUGAGUCAUCAGCUCGCGUUGAUUACGUCCCUGCCCUUUGUACACACCGCCCGUCGCUACUACCGAUUGAAUGGCUUAGUGAGGUCUUGGGAUUGGCUUCGGGAAGCCGGCAACGGCAUCCUGUUGCUGAAAACUUGAUCAAACUUGGUCAUUUAGAGGAAGUAAAAGUCGUAACAAGGUUUCCGUAGGUGAACCUGCGGAAGGAUCAUUAAUGAAUUUUGAAAGGGGUUGUAGCUGGCUUUUUCGUUUGAGAGGCAUUUUGUGCACACCCUGAUCAUCAUCCAUUUCAAACACCUGUGCACAUACUGUAGGUUGGUUUGUGAGGCAGGCACUUUCAUCGGUGCAGCUUUGUGAGCCUUCCUAUGUUUUUAUUAUAAACAACUGUCGUUUAAAGAAUGUUUAUUGCGUGCAACGCAUCUACAUAUACAACUUUCAGCAACGGAUCUCUUGGCUCUCGCAUCGAUGAAGAACGCAGCGAAAUGCGAUAAGUAAUGUGAAUUGCAGAAUUCAGUGAAUCAUCGAAUCUUUGAACGCAUCUUGCGCUCCUUGGUAUUCCGAGGAGCAUGCCUGUUUGAGUGUCAUGGAAUUCUCAACUUCAUUUGCUUCUGUGAAUGAGGCUUGGAUUUGAGGUGUUUGCUGGAUUUGUAUGUUCAGCUCCUCUUGAAUUCAUUAGCUCGAGCCUUUUGCGGAUCGGCCUCAGUGUGAUAAUUAUCUACGCUGUUCUGUGAAGCAUUACACUGUGGGUUUCGGCUUCCAAUUGUCUUUGCGGACAACAAAUUUGAUCUUUGACCUCAGAUCAGGUAGGAUUACCCGCUGAACUUAAGCAUAUCAAUAAGCGGAGGA
RNAcentral lists this ribosomal RNA (873 nucleotides) under uncultured fungus. RNAcentral's name for it is "eukaryotic LSU rRNA". The stretch from base 1 to 241 matches the Rfam family "Eukaryotic small subunit ribosomal RNA", at positions 1593 to 1831 of the family's 1831-position model. The record is from RNAcentral. Lineage: Eukaryota; Fungi.